Molecule: long non-coding RNA, 11673 nt
Organism: Gasterosteus aculeatus aculeatus (three-spined stickleback)
Lineage: Eukaryota; Metazoa; Chordata; Actinopteri; Perciformes; Gasterosteidae
Source: Ensembl
ACCAGGUUCUGGUUGAACCGCCUGAGGGACAGACAGGCAGACAGAGAGUCUUACAGACACAUAGACAGAGCUUAUUAUGCUAAUGAGACAGCGGGCUUAGAGGACCCACCUCUCAGUGACCGUCGGCAAGAUGAAGAACAUCCAGAAGUGAAUCCCAAAAACCAAAAUCACCUGGAAGACUAGUUUCCCCAAAACGGUCUUCCUCAAAUACAGAGCCCGGUCUAUCACCAUGGUGCCUGUAGACGAGACAGACCGAUGGAUGGUGAGACAGGUAGACAGGUAGACAGGCAGACAGGCAGACAGGCAAACAGGCAGACGUACCAAAUUGGAUCAGAACCAUCACCAAGAACGCUUCAGGAACUUGGUCUUCUGAGAGGGAGGAAGUGAUGUCAGCAGCCGCAGAGUGUUUCUGUAUAAUACAGAAUAAAAGCAAUUACAAUAAAUAAAUAUAACACAAGAGAAGUAAAUAUAAUAGAAUGAACCAAAUAAACAGAAGUUUCCCAGUGAAUCGCAAGUGCCAGAAAUCAGUAAAUCCUCUGAAUUUACUCCGAAGGCCCAAAAGCCGAAGACGAUGAUGAUGAAGUCGACGGUGUCGGCGAGGAACAUGAGGACGUAAACAUCGGUGACGGCGCUGUAUUCUGGUUGGAUGAGAGCUCUGAAGAAGUGAAGGACGGGACGGUAAAGAGACAAACACCUGAAGCAGAGAGAGUUAUUAGCACCUCAUGUUGAUGUCACAUCUUCAUCUUUAGAGCAUCGAGUUAAAUGAGGGGAUUCAUUAAACAUGCCAGAUAAUAAACAUUAUUCUUGUACCAGAUUUAAAUGUUUUCAUCUGAGCACAAUAACACUAAUACGACGAGGGUAACAUAUCCAAAUGUCGACAUACAGUAAGUGCAUAAGAAGUGUUGGGUUCUUAUAGAUUUACGUUGUUCCCAAAAGUGACAAAUGUUUUUAUAGUUAUAAGUAUUUCUCCUUUCUUGUUAUGUUUUGUGGUCCUAAUAGAAUCCACUGACAAUGAGUAAUGAACUGGGUUCACAUUAAUGUCCCUUUGUUUCACCGGACCCUGGUUAGUUGCCAGGUUGCUCUACCUGCUGACGGAGACCUUCUUGGCUCUGAUGGAAAGCUCUCGGAGUUUCUCCAGCAGCAGAUCCAACCUGCCGGGCCGCUGAGCUCUGGAAGUCUCGCUCCCUGAGAGCAAGAGGAUGACGGAGGAAAGGUCAACGGUGCUUCUACGUGAACGAGUGCAUUCGUUUACCGCAGCGGUUAAUUCAUCUUUGAGUCGUGAAGUGCGGUGGACAUAUUUAAUCAAGCAGAGACACAAUCCAAAGGGAUGGUGAACAUGUCCGUUUAAAAAACUCAGGCUUUAGGCUGCGAAGGAAACUUUUAUCAUCCUCAACUGAAAAGGUCAGGAUGAGAGCUGACGAGUCAAAGAUCCAACAGAACCACGUUGUCUGCAUAAAGACGCUCCCGAGGUCUCCUCACCUCCAUCAGGUGGAGGUGGAAGCCUCACCUUGUUGCUUUCAGCUGUCUCUGAUUCUACCUGCAGGAGAGCGCUGCUGGGUGGAACUGGAGGUCGUCCGUUUCCGCCCUCGGCGCUGCGUGGUGCGCUCGGUCGGAUCGAUGUAGGCAAAGCCGUGGAAGGAGUCGGCUCGGUUGCCGUGAGGAUGGAUGGCGUCGGCCUCCAUGGUGAUAGUCUGGUCCCAAAGUCCGUGGCACUGAUAAACAAGAUUAUCAUUUAUAUUUAAGAUCUUCUUACCUUGAGUGUGGCUCUAUGAUCUAGAUCUUCUUACCUUGAGUGUGGCUCUAUGAUCUAGAUCUUCUUACCUUGAGUGUGGCUCUAUGAUCUAGAUCUUCUUACCUUGAAUGUGGCUCUAUGAUCUAGAUCUUCUUACCUUGAGUAUGGCUCUGUGGUGGAACAAAGCAAGAAGCUGUAGGAGGUCAUACAGGACGUAGCCCUCUUUCUUCUCCACCCCAAGGAUGUUUGGAGGGUGAAACGGUUUGGAGCGAUCUACCUCCAGCUUCUGGUUGAACGAAAAGAAACCAAACUGGAAGAAUACUUGAUGACGAUGGUGACCUGAGGACAGAGACAGGUAGAUGGACAAGUAGACAGAUUUAGUGCAAACCACCGACCACCUGUGGACACAUGACUGAAUGUUUGAAACAAAGUUGUGACAGAACCUCGGUGUAGAUGAUGGCCGUCAUCCAGAAGGUCUUGCUGGGUCGAGGGACGGACAGUGUGGCCCACAAGAAGACCAGAACAGGAAGUACCAAGGUCAGACAGCUGGCCGACACCAUGUGGUUCAGCACGAUGACCAGGUAGCACACGGUUUCCGACCUGAUGCAAGGACUGUGUGAGUAUCUUAGCAGCUUUAGAGGGAUCUGAGGACUCGCCUGCGGACCAGAGCUCACCUGGCCGCCAGGAUAUUGUAGAGAGCGUAGCACAGCUGGAGCAGCUGGGGCUGGUCACUGUAGAAACGGUCUGACGCCUCCAGCUCCUGGUCAUAGAAGGUCCUGGAAGACAAAGGGAAACUCAGCGUGAACCUCCAGCAGGUGGCGGGCGGAGGAUGUCAGCUGGGACUCACCUGCUCCGCAGCAGCUCGCUGGCCGUCAGCUCCUGAGCGCGAGACGCCGCUGGACAGGAAGUGGAGGCCGAGUCGGACAGGAUGUCACUCUGGUGAAAGCGCUUCCCGAAUCCUUCCUCGGCCUCUUCCUCCACCUGCAGCUCCAGGCCCAGAGCGAGGCUGUAGGAGGGGGGGAGGAGGAGGGAGGAGAGGGGGGUAGGGGAGGAGGCGCUGGUCUGAAUCGGCUUUGAUUCUUCAGCUCUGUUAAAACAGAAAGCGAAAUAAUCAGGUGGGAAGCAUCUAGAGGAACAAUUAUCAUCAUCGUAUUCUUCCUCCACACCUCAUCUGCUCGUCACCAUCGUCCUCUGAAGAUGAGGAGGACGAUGAAGCUCCAACUCUCUCCAUCCGGGUCAGUUUGGGUCGCCGUCUUUGACGGAUUCUAUUCACCAGGCCUUCUGGGUCAUCUUCCAAUGAUGCUGCUGUUACUCUGUCUGGUUCAAGUCCUGAACAUGGUUCACCUGAAUCAUCUUUGCCUGAUUGUUGUUCUGGUAGAGGAAGUGGAGCUCCUCCCGAUGGUGGUCUUGAUGGAUUGGGUUUUUGUGGACUACUCUCAUCAGCAUCAGAACUCACCGACUCUUCUUCCUCCCAUCUUCUCUCUGCCGAGGCCUGCCGCUCGGCCUCAUGGGAACUGUCGUUCAGGCCUGACUCUCUGGAGGCUCUCAUCAUCUGCUCUUGGUAGUAGACGUGGAUCGCCUCUCUGGUGGGAACGUUACCCUGAACAAACAAGAAAGAAGCAACGCAUCAACACAACUCCUCCCUCUUUGUAGUUCCAACUCGGCUGCCGUCGCUUUGCACCUGCUUGGCCUGCUGCGUCAGCAUGCAGCGCUCGAUGCGGAGGACGGUGGAGAUGUCGAUGUGCUCCUGACACAGACCGCUGAGCCAGGCAGUCAGAGAGUCCAGCAGAGCGGACAGCAGAACCCAACAGAACCGCAAGGUGCCGGAGAACCGACGCAGCACAGUGUCUGAAACACACGAUUGUAAGAGACAGCUAUGCAUCAUGGGAGCUGUAGUUGUUGAGUCUGAGUGCUUCUGGUACAAUUAUCACAAAGGACUCCAACCAGGUUCCUCCGCUUUCUCCUCCUCCUCUCCUUCUCCAUCCUCCUCAGUGUCCUCUGUCACUUCUAUCCCUAAAGCUGCGGGAGAGGUGGAGCAGUUAGUGUAUCUUCUUCCUCAAUUCCUCUCCCUCCUCUUUUCGUCCUAUUCCUCCUUCCUCCUCCUCACCUUCUCUCUUCUCCUCCUUCCUGCUCUUCCAGAGUUUCUCCUGGUUGUUCCGAGCUCUCAUUGCUGUUCUGGAAUCAGUUAUCCAGGCGUGAUACACAAACUGCGAGCGAGAGACAGACGGACAGACAGCAUCUUCAUCACUCUUCAUCACUUUCACUCUCUUUUGGUCAAACUUUCUCAUUUCUUUGUUGUGUUUCAGAUCUUUGUGAGAGCUCACCUGAAAGGCUGAUUUCUCGGGUAGCUUUUCUUUCUUCUUCUUCUUCUCGUCCUCGUCCUCCUCCUCGUCCUCCUCACUGUCUGUCUCAAACAGGUAGUAAUCACCGCUCCUCACCACUGCGGGCAGACAGACAGGUCAGACCUACAGACGGUAACAGAGUGACUGACAGGUGAGAGAGUGAUUGUGUCAGAGGUCAUGUGACUCACUGGAGGCGUGGUUUACCCAGGGUCUCCACCACUUCUUCUGGCCCCGCCCCUUCCUCUUCUCCUGAUCUACAUAACAGACACUCACGUCAAAUUGUCUGGCGACUGACAGCCAUCACCAUGACAACGAAUGUACACCUCAUGUUGCGUUCACACCAAAAGCAAAGUGAAUUCUCGCCAUGAUUUAAUCGCCCAAUUAGUUUAAUUCAUUCAUUCAUUUGUCUGCAUUUGCGUCUCCUUCAUCCGCUUCAUAGGCGCCGGAAGGGGGCGUGGCUUAUCUCUGCAGCUUGUCUCCGUAAAGACAGUUAUCGUCCACCAUGGCAACAAACACUAUGUCAGUCUGUGCUGUGUGUGUCUCCAGUGACUUUCAUAAAGUGUAUUGAGGCUUUGGCAGCAGUACGGCGGUGAUGACGAGCGGAGCAUCUCAACGCCGAUUGGCUUUCGCUAGACAGCGGCGGGACGAAAAGGCGAUUUAUUGGCUUUGCUUCCUUCGCGUCCUUCACGCUGAACAUUUGCGUACUUCGCAACAACAAACCUUCGGUGCAGAAGCUGCCUUGGGUCAAACUCAACAAUUUCUCUUUUCCUUUGCGGAACUUCUUCUGUCGGGAUUUUAUUCGUUCCAUCCUGAAGCACAUGGGAGACAAGAAGUGGUUCACCGGCGGACAGGUGUGUCCAUCAACAUCUGGUCCCAGGUGAAACUUGUCUCAGUGCUUUGACCCUCUGAACUACUUUGCGUGUCUUACUGCCUCUUCAGAAGGUCCAUGGAGGUCUUCUCCACCUCUAGCCUCGCUCUGACAGCUUUCACUGUGGACGCCUCAAAGAGCUCCGCACCCCUUUAACGCACACACACACACACACACACAUCAACGUGUCACCACAUGUCCGUUCCUUAACAUCUGUUCAGGUGUGUGAUUGUGUACCUGGAGGCCAGCAGUUGUGUAUUUUGUAGGUCAAGGACCACACACAGGAAGUACUGACUCCUGAAGACCCGCCUCUGAAGCAACAGGAAACAGAAGCAAACGCCGUCCCAAAUGAUGCCGGCCUCGUCGCUAGGCAACUCACACUGCUUACUGCUCUGCUGCUCCGCUGCAGGAAGUUAUGAGUGGUAAACACCGGGCAGACAGACAGGCAGACAGACAGACAGACAGACAGACAGGCAGGCAGGCAGGCAGACAAGACAGACAGACAGACAGACAGGUGAAGAGUAAACACCUACGUUUGGUGUACCCUUUGAUGGUGCAGGCCAGACUGAAGAGCUGAAUCAGCCAGCAGUGGUUUGACACCAACGACUUGAUGAAACCACAGGCCAGGAUCUGACCAGACAGACAGACAGGUGGAGACAUUGAGACGGUUUGACUCAGAGAGGGUGAGGAUGAUGAUGAUGAUGAUGAUGCAUCUUACCGACAGGAUGUUCUUCAUAGUGAUGACGAACACGUUGUAGCCAAUUAGGAAAUCCCAGUACACCAAGAUGGAUUUCACUGGUUUCAGCAGCAGAUUUCCGCCAACCAACAGGAAGUAGAAACACGCCACCAGGUAACCCAUACAGAAGAUACUGAUCCUGCAACAGGAAGUAGAAUCACAUCAAGAAGUAACCUAUAAAGAAGAUACCGAUCCUCAAACAGAGAGUAGAAACAUGUCACUAGGUAACCUGUACAAAAGACACCAAAUACUUGAUUGUAUUAACAUUAUUGGUGAAUAUUCACGUUCAAGUUCAGGUUGCAGUGGCUCCGCCCACUCACCUAGUAGUCCCAGUAAUGAAGAUGAUGGUGAGGACAAACCAAAACAUGUAGCUGAAGAUGAUAAGCUUCAUCAUGUCCAGGUAAGACCUGCAUACAAAGAGGGCAAAGGUCAGACGGACAAUGAGACACCAAGAAAUAAGGAGAACGGGGCGGGGGGGCUACCUGCACAGCAUGAAGUCAGGGCCUGUGUUCAGACGGAGUCGCCUGAUUGCAUCUGGAACCUGUUCGUCAUCCUCGUCCAGCUCACAGUUGUCUCCUGCGAGGAUCUGAACCGACGACCGGAGCUCUUCCUCAAACACCUGCAGCUGCAGAGAGGCACCGAGGAGGAGCAAGAAGUCAUCUGAAAGAUUAGGAAAGAGGAGAUAAUGAGGGGGAGCAGGAAAUCAUCUCAGACGGUGGUGAUGAUGAUGAUGAUGAUCCUACAGAGGAGGAAGAUUGGGUUUGGAGGUGUCAGGUGAUCGGGCAGGAAGAGCCACUUCACCACGUUGGAGUCCAUGUUGGAGGACGGAGGUCUCCAUGGAUAAUCUGUGAGUACCAAAAAGAGUUUAAAAUUCACCAUUUAGCUUAGCUUAGCAUGACUUGAAGAACUGAAGCUGUUAUCCUAGCUUAUAAUGUACUACAAAAUGUUUAAAAUCUGAAAAUAAUACAGUAAUAGGAUAUUGUAUUAGUGGUCCAGACACAUCCUCUCUCAGGAUAGCUUAGCAUAAAAAUGUUUUAUAAACUUCAUUAUGAAGUAAUAAUCCCCACACAUUGUUUGUACCUUUGCAGGCGGCCGGAGGGAACCCGAUACACAGAAUGUACUGGAAACAUAGCAGCCCUGAGAGGAAGUAGCAGUACUUGGGCCACACUGAGGCAAUGUGCCUCCUGCGCCGCUUUGAUAGGACACUGAUGAGACCAAAGGCAUGGCCUACAGCGAACAGGUCCAUCCGCUGGCCAAUCACGUUCACAGCCAACAGGAAGCAGGUCUGAGGAAGAGCGUGGGAAUAUUUUUAAACGUGAAGAUGUUAGCUUAUUGCUAACCUCGGGGUGUGUCUCACCUCCAGGCCAAACUUGUAGAAGAAGUAGUUGAGGAAGUACUUCACACAGCUUAGCACGCUGUCGUCCAGGUGGCGCCUGGUGAUGUCAUGAAACAGCGUUUUGGUGGCGGGCGGAACCUCGUUACGUCGGAGUCGGUAGAGCUCCUGGUGUCUGUAAACUGUUACCUCAAAGGCUAACAGCGCUAAUAUCAUCAGGUUAUGCUGCAGAAAGAGAUUAGCAUGCUGUUACGUUAUCAGACCCAACUUCAUCAGGUUAGACUGGUUAGCACGAUGCUAUGUGAUGAGCAUCAUCAUAUAAUGUGGAGACUGGUUAGCUAGAUGCUAGAUCUCACUUCAUCAGCGUAGCCUGAUGCUAGGCUAUCAGAGUUGCUUUGUCACUCCUCACCCUCAGGUAGUCCAGCAGUUUUCCGUCAGUCUUCCGUAGCCCCACCCACUGGGCGGGGUCAACUGCACCGGCGUACAGAACAGAGCGAGACAGGUCGGCGCUGGAGUUACCUGGCUACAGAGAGACAGACAGGUAUGGUACCGCUACAGGAGGCUUUCUGGGGGGGUAACAGACAGACAGGUAUUUGGCCAGUGUGGAUGGAUGUUGUUGACAUGGUUACCAUGGUGCAGUUGGAGGAGUAUCUGAAGGGCUGGACAAUGUUGAGCUGGUACAACAUCUUACAGACAGUCACCACACAGGUCCAAACUGUACAGACUCCUAACAGCAGGGGGCGCCACGCCCUGUAGGGCAGAGCCACGGCCACACACAGCACGAACAGCAGGUUAAACACGCACACCUGCAGAGAGACAGACAGGUUCAACACACACACACCUAUAGGGACAGACAGACAGGUUUUACACGCUCACCCAUAGAGGUCAAACUGAAAGACAGACAGAUCUCACCUCCUUUACACAGACCCAGAUGAUGUAGCAGGAGACGAUCUUAACUAUGUGGAGUUCCAGGAUCCACCACAGAAGGUGCUGCAGGCGCUGCAAGGAGAGGAGGAGGCGCAAGAACAAAACAGAGAGACGGUCCACCACCAACCUCCAGGAGACCAGCACUGAGGACGAGAGAACAGGAGUGAACUUCCUGUAUGGAAGAGUCCCAGGUGUGAUGAUGUCUAUGCAGCUACCUUUGAUAUGCUCAGACAGGGUUUCCCUCUCAAACACACAGGGGUAGUCCUCCUCCUCUUUUAUCCAUUUCUCUUCUGUCUCCUCCUCUUCACACUCCCUCUGUCCUCGGCUCUUCUCCGCCUCCAGGAGGAGUUGAGGGGUUUCACACACCGACAGGUCGAACAGGCUGCCGUCGGAGUGGACCAGCCUGCAGAGAGAGACAGGUGAGAAGAAGUAUAAUAAACUUCAUUCAGGUACGUAGCCCAGAACGGGGAUUCUUCACAGAGGUCUGAGGACCAUCUACAGAGAUCUGAGUACCCUUUGAGAGGGUCUGGGGACUAUCAAAUGUUAUUACGGCUUGUCUCCAGCUGUUCUAUGACCUCUGACCCGCAAGUAGAGCUGUGUGUUACCUGGUGAUGGUGCUGUUGUGCGUGUCCACCACAGUCUUCAGGUCGGUCAGCUGCAGGAAUGGCUUGUGGAAGUAAUGCAGGUGAACGAUGCACACCUGAGGAACAUGGUCAGGAGUCAACUUCCACAUGACAUGUGGCGCACACUGUCUCUGUGGAAAUGUGAGAGUACCAAGAGGAACGCAGCAGGGAUGAAGAUCCUGGUGAAGAGAACGGGAACCGAGAACUUCUCCAAACCAAUGUCCUCCAACCUGGACAGGUAAUAAUGACAGUAAAGACCAUGGAGAGAGAAGAGACAGGAGAGACAUUAGAGACAUUAUAGAUGGAAGAAAUAUUACAGACAUCAGAGAUAUGAGGGAUAUGGACAGAGACAGUACCUGUGGGUACUCAUUCGUGUCUUUUAGUACACGUUUGUGUCUUUGAGUACCUGUGUGUACUCGUUUGUGUCCUUGAGUACCUGUGAGUACUUAAUCCGGUGUAGUAGCUCCAGGUGUGGAGGGACGAAGGGAACUGGAAGGUGUAGACCAGGAUGAGAACCAACAUGGAGUAAACCACCACGGCUACCCAGAAACCCCUGAGCAUGGCACGCCAACGCUCAUAGUUCAACUACAGAGAGAAAGACAGGUAGAGAGACAGAUUCAAAGUAUGUAAAGGCACAGCUUGAUAGAGUCCUGAGUAUCUAAACUCUAAAUCCCAGUUCUUAGGUUUUUAAGGAGUGGUAUCAGCGAGACAUACAGCUGCAGUACUUGUAGUACUUGCAGUACUUGCAGUAUUACCUGGUAGAGGGCGGCGCAGUAGAGGAACAUAACCAUGUAGAUGACUUUGUAGAGGACGAUUUUUCCCUCAAAACUAACAAAGAAGAACAUUGUUCCGCAGACAUAGAUCCAGUAUUUGACAAACAUCCUGGUAACCACGGCAACAAGGGCCUCCAUCUUGACCGCUCCUUCUCCUCCUGUGUGCAGGAGCAGCACCUCCUCGUACGACACCUCCUCCUUCUCCUGCACGUCCUCAUCGGCACUCGGCUGCUCCUCUAACGGACGUAAAACAAGAGGGAGACGGACCAGGUAAUGAGACAUGUGUGCAGUGAGACAGACCAGGUAAUGAGACAUGUGUGCAGUGAGACAGACCAGGUAAUGAGACAUGUGUGCAGUGAGACAGACCAGGUAAUGAGACAUGUGCGCAGUGAGACGGACCAGGUAAUGAGACAUGUGCGCAGUGAGACAGACCAGGUAAUGAGACAUGUGUGCAGUGAGACAGACCAGGUAAUGAGACAUGUGCGCAGUGAGACAGACCAGGUAAUGAGACAUGUUUGUAGUGAGACAGAUGUCUUACCCAACGUGUGGACGGUGAUGUGAGACAGCUGUCUGUCUCUCUGUCUGUCUCUCUUCUCAGUUAGCGCCUGACGCAGCAGCAACCAGAAGGUCAAGAGACACAACAACUGCAACGACAACAACAGUAGUAUCAGUACAAGUAGUAGUUGUAGUACAUGUAGUAGUAGUAGUAGUAGUAGUACCUUGGAGGCCAGCUCACUGCAGGGAUCUUCUUUCCUCGGGAACAGUCCCGGGACUUCUCGGAUGGGGGGGAAGCUGUAGACAUACUGCAGGAGGACCAGCAGGUUGCCGUAGGCGACCAGCCAGGGCGAUGACAUCAGCGUGUACCGGCGACGCUCUCGCAUCAUCCAGAGGACGCACGACCACAGCAGCAGCACACACGUCAGCCAGGACACGUAUGUGAUUGGCCACGCCAUCAUGGCAAUCAGAGCACAGAUGUAACUCUGCUUGAGGAGGAAAGUGAACGCCCUAGACGCAGCACUGACUCCCUCUUCCUCCCUUCUCCUCUCCUCCUCCUCCUCUUCUCUCAUCGUUGUCCUCCUCCUCUCCUCUUCAUCCUCUCCCUGCUCCUCCUCCGCACGCGUCUCCAACGUGUCUACAGCAUCAAACACAGAUAAGAACCGCCAUCAUGAAGGUCACUGUCUGUCCUAUGACACCAUCAUGUCCCCAAUGGUACCUGUCUGUCCUGUGGGAUACCUGUCUACCUCUCUACAGUAUCCUUCAACCCAUAAACUCACCUGAUUGGCUGAGAGAGUAGUGAGACGCGGCGUAAGCAUCCAAUUCAAAUACUUUGCUCUGGGUAGACGGGGCAAACGCGUCAGAGGGACUGUCAUCGGUGGAUGAUACCUAGAGACGGACCAAGAGACAGAAUGGGGACUUUAAACAACAAAAUUGAAUUCUGUGUAUUCAUGAAAUGAUCACAAUAAUGAAUGAAAGCGUAAUAUGUAUUUUUUUGUUUCCGUACGCCUCGGCACUCGGGACGAUCGUGAGCUCUCCUCCACGACUCUCUCCGUCCCUCCGCUGUGAUGUCACUGCCGACCUCAUCGCUCAAGUUGCUGGUGGCAGUUAUGAUGUCACAGCUCCCGCUGAUGGCUGACUCCUCCCUCUCUAUGCCCCACCACCCAACGCCAUCGAUCAGCUGCAGAAACAUGUGACACACUUCAGCCAAUUAGAGCGUCUUUCCUUCUCACCGUCCCUUCCCGUCCCUUCCUGACUGGCAGGACCAUACAGAUGUUUAUCUCUGCCAACUCCAUUUGGAAAGUGAUAUAUAUAUAUAUAGUUUUAAACUUGUUUUAAACAUGUUUACUGCCAUUUCAUUGCUUCUUCUGCUCCUUUACGCAUUAUCUUUGACAUGUUUGAAAUAGAUCUGAUAUAUAAAAUGACAUCAUACUGUAACAUUAUGACUGUAUGACAUCAUAAGCAGAAGUUCUAACAUGCUGUAUGAUGUCAUCCUGUGUUGCGUGACAUCACCUGGUUCCUCCACAGAGUGGCCACAGUGUGGUAGAGCAGCAUCAGCAUCAAAGGACUGGUGAAGUGAAACCAGCUUAGCUCAGAGUUCACCUGCAUCCUCCAGGGGGCAGAACAGUUCACGGAGACCAGGGGCAGCAAGCCAAACAGACUGCAGUGGAGACAUGCACCAUCAGUAGACCAUAAACCAAUCAAUCGAUCGACACAUUAAUGAAUCGACCCGUCAAUGAAAUAAGACUGAGAUCUACUGUUGAUUUACAGGAACAUGUUGUUGUGAAGAAAGUCUGUGUUUGUCUCAACCUGUAAUUAAGUCACUUGUCUGACUCCACAGGGUG